AAAGAAUUAGUUAAUUUUAUAAUAUAAGUAUGUCAAUCUUAAGUCAGAGUAUACUAUUCUUUU
Molecule: transfer RNA, 63 nt
Filed under: Orthonychiurus folsomi
Lineage: Eukaryota; Metazoa; Arthropoda; Collembola; Poduromorpha; Onychiuridae
Description: tRNA-Asp
Source: RNAcentral